AAAGGGGCUUCGGCUCCGAGUAAAGUGGCGCACGGGUGAGUAAUACGUGGGUAACCUGCCUCUAAGACUGGGACAACUUGUCGAAAGACGAGCUAAUACCGGAUAAGACCACAGUUCCCGAGGGGACAGAGGUCAAAGGUAGCCUCUAUUUAUAAGCAAUCGCUUAAAGAUGGGCCCGCGCACCAUUAGCUAGUUGGUGGGGUAAUGGCCCACCAAGGCAAAGAUGGUUAGCUGGUCUGAGAGGAUGAUCAGCCACACUGGAACUGAGACACGGUCCAGACUCCUACGGGAGGCAGCAGUGGGGAAUAUUGCGCAAUGGGCGAAAGCCUGACGCAGCAACGCCGCGUGAGUGAUGAAGGCCCUCGGG
Molecule: ribosomal RNA, 367 nt
Filed under: uncultured bacterium
Lineage: Bacteria
Description: bacterial SSU rRNA
Rfam family: Bacterial small subunit ribosomal RNA
Source: RNAcentral